CGGGCCUCGGCGGCCGCCAACUCCCUCCUCCUCCAAAUCCUCCUCCUCCUCCGCGGCCGCCCCAAGGCCGCCGGCUGCCGAGUGCAACCGGGAGGUGGAAUCCCUCUGCCAGAGGGCAUCCCUUUCCAGUGUUGGGGCCCAAGAGCAGAGCGGCGCAUCCCACCCACGGGUCCCGCCUAAGACCCCUAAAGGGGUAGAAAAGAGAGGAACCAUCACGAGGAGAACCGACAGCGAGCCAGGGACCCGCGGGAAGACAUUUAAGGGGUUUGAGAAGACUCUUGCGAUGCCCCUAAUCAACUGGGAGCUUUGUGAGUAAGUGGAUACAAAUAUCUGGCAAGUGCGUCUCUUGAGUGUGGUCAGGUGAGGCUGGCGCGGCACUGCCAGUUACGCACACUCUCAGGUAUAGCGGCAGACUAGGAUUCACAACUGAUGAUCAGCAGUACCCAAGAACAGCCCACAGUGAAGCUGGAGACCACAAAAAGCCCACAGCCCACACCUCUGGAGAGCAUUUUGGAGAAGACAGGUGGAGGAGAAAGUAAGGCCAAACCUCAUGAUUGGCCCGUGACUUGGUGAAGGCUGUCCCUGAGCAAAAGAAUCCAGUGUUUGGAAGACCUUUCAUAUCCUGCUAACAGUAACAACCCACAGAUCUGCCACCAAAAUAAACAUAGCCUUUUCCAAAGUGCUGUAAAAAGUCUAAAAUGUCUGAGCUUCAUUACCAAAGGUUGGUAGUGAUUCAAAAUAUACUAGCAGAGGAGAUCAAAUUAAGAAGAUAAAGUAAAGACAAUUAUGGAAAUCCUAAUUAAGAUUUUUGCACCAUGCUGGUGGAAGGAACUGAAACCAGUCUGAAUGAGGAUCAUCUGGUUAUUUUGCGGUCCCCUUCCAGAUGGGACAUUUACCCUGACUCUGAGGUUGUUCUAGCUUUAUGGUAGGGUCUUCUAUCAGAAUCCACAUCUUCGGUGUUACUUUUAUUGUUGUUUUCCUUUCUUACUUAGUGCCAGAGAAAAUGCUGCCUCUUCCAACUAACAGUAUCUUAGAUGAAAUACAGUAUAUUUGAAAUGAUUAUGCAACUUAAGAAA
This is a long non-coding RNA of Eubalaena glacialis (North Atlantic right whale), 1076 nucleotides long. RefSeq lists it as uncharacterized. Lineage: Eukaryota; Metazoa; Chordata; Mammalia; Artiodactyla; Balaenidae. The transcript is spliced from 4 exons. The record is from RefSeq and is a predicted model, not a curated record.